Long non-coding RNA from Cebus imitator (Panamanian white-faced capuchin), 742 nucleotides. RefSeq lists it as uncharacterized. The record is from RefSeq and is a predicted model, not a curated record. The transcript has 4 exons. Lineage: Eukaryota; Metazoa; Chordata; Mammalia; Primates; Cebidae.
GGGAGACACGCAUGCGCAAGGCUUGAAUGGAGUGGGGGUUGGAGGGUCGGGAAGAGAAGGGCUCGCAUGCAUAUUUACGAACGCAAAGUUGCUAGAAGUUGGCACCAGAGGUUGGGAGGGAGAGAUGGCGCUCAUGCGUAUUUGAGACAUCUUGAUGGGGAGAAUGGUGAUGUCACAUGCAAUCAGAAACUAUGCCACUGGUGAAGAGAUAUAUUGAGCCCUGCCUGGUUAACCUCCAGUGAGGUUAUUAGAGAAUUGGGAGAGGCUCAAAUCAGCAUCCUGCACAUAGUCAUCAAACCAUUGUGAAGUCUUGACUGGAUUGUGAAGGAUAUUUGAAAAGUAUUUUAAAGUCUACCAGAACCUCCAUGUGAGUGACCAUGCAGCAAAAGAGUGAGGGUCCUUUCAGUGAUUAAGGUAACAUAGUGAUUAAGGUAAGGUAGUGGGACUGUGCUAUGUCAAACCCUAAAUUUGGCUUUCAGGAUGAGGAAGUAUUAAUUCUUCCACUGAUAUCUCAAAAGGUGAUCUGGACAAAGGAACAGGUAUCUCAGUCAGGUAAGUGAUGGUUGAAUAUAAAAGUAAAUAUUAUUCUUUGACCUUUUUGUUGUAUUUGUUAUGUUUAAUAGCUUUCCUAAUAAUGAACCAACCUUGUAUUUUUUUUUGAGACGGACUUUUUUUUUUUGGAGAUGGAGUCUCGCUCUGUCGCCUAGGCUGGAGUGCAGUGGCGCGAUCUCGGCUCACUGCA